CACGCUGUAAACGAUGUCGAUUUGGAGGUUGUGCCCUUGAGGCGUGGCUUCCGGAGCUAACGCGUUAAAUCGACCGCCUGGGGAGUACGGCCGCAAGGUUAAAACUCAAAUGAAUUGACGGGGGCCCGCACAAGCGGUGGAGCAUGUGGUUUAAUUCGAUGCAACGCGAAGAACCUUACCUGGUCUUGACAUCCACAGAACUUAGCAGAGAUGCUUUGGUGCCUUCGGGAACUGUGAGACAGGUGCUGCAUGGCUGUCGUCAGCUCGUGUUGUGAAAUGUUGGGUUAAGUCCCGCAACGAGCGCAACCCUUAUCCUUUGUUGCCAGCGGUCCGGCCGGGAACUCAAAGGAGACUGCCAGUGAUAAACUGGAGGAAGGUGGGGAUGACGUCAAGUCAUCAUGGCCCUUACGACCAGGGCUACACACGUGCUACAAUGGCAUAUACAAAGAGAAGCGACCUCGCGAGAGCAAGCGGACCUCAUAAAGUAUGUCGUAGUCCGGAUUGGAGUCUGCAACUCGACUCCAUGAAGUCGGAAUCGCUAGUAAUCGUAGAUCAGAAUGCUACGGUGAAUACGUUCCCGGGCCUUGUACACACCGCCCGUCACACCAUGGGAGUGGGUUGCAAAAGAAGUAGGUAGCUUAACCUUCGGGAGGGCGCUUACCACUUUGUGAUUCAUGACUGGGGUGAAGUC
This 691-nucleotide ribosomal RNA is filed under the name Klebsiella sp. RNAcentral describes it as "bacterial SSU rRNA". It matches the Rfam family "Bacterial small subunit ribosomal RNA", at positions 796 to 1487 of the family's 1533-position model. Lineage: Bacteria; Pseudomonadati; Pseudomonadota; Gammaproteobacteria; Enterobacterales; Enterobacteriaceae. The record is from RNAcentral.